CUCUCCGCUUUGGGAGUACGGUCGCAAGACUCAAACUCAAAGGCAUUGACGGGGGCCCGCACAAGCGGUGGAGCAUGUGGUUUAAUUCGAAGCUACGCGCAGAACCUUACCAGCCCUUGACAUGCCUCGGAAGUCGACGAGAGAUCGAUCACGCUCUUCGGAGCCGGGGACACAGGUGCUGCAUGGCUGUCGUCAGCUCGCGUCGUGAGAUGUUGGGUUAAGUCCCGCAACGAGCGCAACCCUCGCCCUUAGUUGCCAUCAUUCAGUUGGGCACUCUAGGGGGACUGCCGGUGAUAAGCCGGAGGAAGGUGGGGAUGACGUCAAGUCCUCAUGGCCCUUACGGGCUGGGCUACACACGUGCUACAAUGGCGGUGACAGUGGGCAGCAAGGCAGCAAUGCCAAGCUAAUCUCAAAAAGCCGUCUCAGUUCGGAUUGAGGUCUGCAACUCGACCUCAUGAAGUUGGAAUCGCUAGAAUCGCGGAUCAGACGCCGCGGUGAUACGUUCCCGGGCCUUGCACACACCGCCCGUNA
This 531-nucleotide ribosomal RNA is filed under the name uncultured Hydrogenophilales bacterium. RNAcentral's name for it is "bacterial SSU rRNA". It matches the Rfam family "Bacterial small subunit ribosomal RNA", at positions 865 to 1399 of the family's 1533-position model. The record is from RNAcentral. Lineage: Bacteria; Pseudomonadati; Pseudomonadota; Hydrogenophilia; Hydrogenophilales.